Camellia sinensis is the source of this 603-nucleotide non-coding RNA. The record is from RefSeq and is a predicted model, not a curated record. Lineage: Eukaryota; Viridiplantae; Streptophyta; Magnoliopsida; Ericales; Theaceae.
GCUCCUCUAAUCAACACUCAUGGGGUUUUGAAGAUGCUUGAAGGGGGUGAAGAAAGAAAAAGAAGAUCAUCCAUGGGAAGCUUGGGAGGAAUUGGAGAAAGCUAGGAGAAAGACAAGGAUGGAACUAGGGUCGAAACGAGAACAUCGUCCUAUUACCACCGGGAACUGAUCACUGCACUCCACCUGGAGGUCAGUUUUAACCCAUGGCAUCCGUGCCACUUUUGUCAACCUCAGAGUAUCCAGGCACUUAAGUGAAGGCAACCCUUUUUGCUAAACUUUUGAUUUUACACUCUAAUUAUUUGCUUAAGGUUGAUGUAUAUAUAAUUCCUUUGCCUGUCCAUGUUGUUUUACGCCCAAUUCUAAGGGCUGGGUCUGUAUAUAUAUAUGUACAUAACUAACUCUCUAGUACACGUCACUGUAUAUUUAUUUGCCUUAUGUUCUGUCUGUGAUCCUGGCAUGAUAGUGGUCGCUCAAUGGAUGCAGUUCUUUUAUUUAUGUUAAUUUAUAUUGGUAAAUGCUUCCGUUCAGGCCCCAUAUGAUAUGUAUACCAGGUUAUGCGUCCGUUUCUGUGUAGGUCAUGCCCAAACUUUUAGGGGCAAGUUU